UACGUAGGCAGCGAGCGUUGUUCGGAAUUACUGGGCGUAAAGAGUGUGUAGGCGGUGCUCUAAGUUCGGUGUGAAAUCUCCUGGCUCAACUGGGAGGGUGCGCCGAAUACUGAAUGACUAGAGUGCGGGAGAGGAUAGUGGAAUUCCUGGUGUAGCGGUGAAAUGCGUAGAUAUCAGGAGGAACACCGGUGGUGUAGACGGCUAUCUGGACCGUAACUGACGCUGAGGCACGAAAGCGUGGGUAGCAAACAGG
RNAcentral lists this ribosomal RNA (253 nucleotides) under uncultured bacterium. RNAcentral describes it as "partial 16S ribosomal RNA". It matches the Rfam family "Bacterial small subunit ribosomal RNA", at positions 524 to 776 of the family's 1533-position model. The record is from RNAcentral.